CCUACGGGAGGCAGCAGUGGGGAAUAUUGGGCAAUGGCCGCAAGCCUGACCCAGCAACGCCGCGUGCAGGAAGAAGGCUUUAUGGUUUUAAACUUCUUUUAUCAGGGACUAAGCACUUUACGGUACCUGAUUAAUACGCCACGGCUAACUACGUGCAAGCAGCCGCUGUAUUACGGAGGUGGCAAGCGUUAUCCGGAUUUACUGGGUGUAAAGGGCUUGUAGGCUGGAGUGCAAGUCAGAUGUGAAAACUAUGGGCUCAACCCAUAGACUGCAUUUGAAACUGUAAUUCUUGAGUGCGGGGGAGGCAAUCGGAAUUCCGGGUGUAGCGGUGAAAUGCGUAGAUAUAAGGAGGAACACCAGUGGCGAAGGCGGAUUGCUGGACAGUAACUGACGCUGAGGCGCGAAAGCGUGGGGAGCAAACAGGAUUAGAUACCCGGGUAGUC
RNAcentral lists this ribosomal RNA (443 nucleotides) under uncultured bacterium. Its description in RNAcentral is "partial 16S ribosomal RNA". It matches the Rfam family "Bacterial small subunit ribosomal RNA", at positions 338 to 795 of the family's 1533-position model. The record is from RNAcentral.